Long non-coding RNA from Solea solea (common sole), 1023 nucleotides. RefSeq lists it as uncharacterized. The transcript is spliced from 2 exons. The record is from RefSeq and is a predicted model, not a curated record. Lineage: Eukaryota; Metazoa; Chordata; Actinopteri; Pleuronectiformes; Soleidae.
UUUGAACGUACUAUUCCAUUGACGUAACAUUUAACCGUAAGAUCAUAACAUAGUCUAUAGUUAUGAAUAUAAGUAGGAAUGAAAUCUGAGUUUUUCAUUUAGGUGCAAUCCAACAGGAGAAAAAAUGAAACAUAAAAACAUCAUUCAAAAAGGUAAGGCAUAUUUUGCUAGGCUAUGAUUGCACCUCACUUUGAUUUAUUUUUUUAUUUUUAAUUGACUUAGGCUAUUAAACGUAACGUAAAUAUUAAUUCAGAUUGCAAACAUUGAGUUCUGCUCAGCCAACAGAAAGAAGGCAGAGGCCCGAAAAACGGACACCUCUGUCAGAGGCUGAGGAGCUGGCUCUCAGCCAAUACAGGGGUCGAACUGUGUCUGAAGGCAUCCAAGGGGGAAGCUCAUCUGAGCCUGUCACCCCCCAGGACACAAGUGCCUACAUCAGAUUCAAGUAUACACUUAUGUCUUUUUUUUUUAAAUAAAACUUUUAUAUAUAUAUAUGCAAUCUGAAUUAUAUAGAGGAGGAGGAGACGCUGUCUGCUGCCACAGGGAGAGAUCCGGAGGGGCCUACUGAAGUGUGUCUUAAUAUUAUGUAUAGCUAGUGGCACUGCUCUACCCAUUAAUAUUCAUUUACAUUCUUGAGUGGAAUUUGGAGUUUGACAUGUACACUGAAGUGAUGAGCAUAGAUAAUGGACAAACUAGCACAUUCUUGUGCUUCAACAGAACAUGGCUGGGCAUCACCAUGAGGAGGGUCCAUCAACUUCUAGAGCACAGCUUGACACAUUGCCGGUAAAAGAGUUGUACAGGGUGCACCUAAUGAAAACCAUUCAAAAAACCGAGAAAGAAAUGGUGUACCUGGACCGGCAAAUCAGAAAAACAGACUUGGAAAUUCUAUUACUUGAACGCCAGUUGAGGUGGGUGCAUUGUCAUGGUGAAACAGGUGAAUAUGUGAAAUAUGUUAAUAGUUGGAACUAUAUUACAAAUCCUGACUGUUGCUUUUGUACUUUUAGAGAAUAAAGAAGAACCAAAUCA